RNAcentral lists this small RNA (129 nucleotides) under Xenorhabdus szentirmaii DSM 16338. RNAcentral describes it as "isrA". The record is from RNAcentral. Lineage: Bacteria; Pseudomonadati; Pseudomonadota; Gammaproteobacteria; Enterobacterales; Morganellaceae.
AUGCAGACCUGCACCGCUUGCCCGGCGGCAAACCCGGCUUCUUCCAGCCAGUUCCCCUUCAAAUGCAAACUGGGGUGCUGGCUGUAAUGGCGGGUCAUGCCGGUGUGUCUGUCGGCGUGACGGGUACUG